This 924-nucleotide ribosomal RNA is filed under the name uncultured bacterium. RNAcentral's name for it is "bacterial SSU rRNA". It matches the Rfam family "Bacterial small subunit ribosomal RNA", at positions 470 to 1399 of the family's 1533-position model. The record is from RNAcentral.
UGACGGUAGUAAACGAAUAAGCCACGGCUAACUACGUGCCAGCAGCCGCGGUAAUACGUAGGUGGCGAGCGUUGUCCGGAAUUAUUGGGCGUAAAGAGCAUGUAGGCGGUUUUUUAAGUCUGGAGUGAAAAUGCGGGGCUCAACCCCGUAUGGCUCUGGAUACUGGAAGACUUGAGUGCAGGAGGGGAAAGCGGAAUUCCUAGUGUAGCGGUGAAAUGCGUAGAUAUUAGGAGGAACACCAGCGGCGAAGGCGGCUUUCUGGACUGUAACUGACACUGAGGCACGAAAGCGUGGGGAGCAAACAGGAUUAGAUACCCUGGUAGUCCACGCCGUAAACGAUGAGCACUAGAUGUUGGUCCCGAAGGGAUCAGUGUCGCAGUUAACGCAAUAAGUGCUCCGCCUGGGGAGUACGCUCGCAAGAGUAAAACUCAAAGGAAUUGACGGGGACCCGCACAAGCAGCGGAGCAUGUGGUUUAAUUCGAAGCAACGCGAAGAACCUUACCAGGGCUUGACAUCCCGAUGACCGUUCCUUAACCGGAACUUCUCUACGGAGCAUCGGUGACAGGUGGUGCAUGGUUGUCGUCAGCUCGUGUCGUGAGAUGUUGGGUUAAGUCCCGCAACGAGCGCAACCCUUGUCGUCAGUUACUAACAUUCAGUUGAGGACUCUGGCGAGACUGCCGAGGUUAACUCGGAGGAAGGUGGGGAUGACGUCAAAUCAUCAUGCCCCUUAUGUUCUGGGCUACACACGUGCUACAAUGGUCGGUACAAUGAGAGGCAAACCUGUGAGGGGGAGCAAAUCACCAAAACCGAUCCCAGUUCGGAUUGUAGGCUGAAACUCGCCUACAUGAAGUUGGAGUUGCUAGUAAUCGCAGAUCAGAAUGCUGCGGUGAAUGCGUUCCCGGGUCUUGUACACACCGCCCGUCA